RNAcentral lists this long non-coding RNA (12789 nucleotides) under Ananas comosus (pineapple). Its description in RNAcentral is "long non-coding RNA (ACOM_LNC043603)". The record is from RNAcentral. Lineage: Eukaryota; Viridiplantae; Streptophyta; Magnoliopsida; Poales; Bromeliaceae.
GUGCCAGCUUAGACCUAGUGGGAAGAUCGGCGGAGUCGGCGGCCGAACCCACUGGGAACUAUAUUUAUAUAGUUCUCACCCCGUGUGGUUUUGGGGUACAGGUACACGUGAAAGCGGGCCGGCAGGUGAUCGUGGUAAGGGCUUAGCGCCCUAGAGUUGGUAGCAUACCUACCUAUUUUGCAUUAGAUUACCUAUACUUUUGAGAGUAGAUGAUGUAUAGGUGUGAGAUAUUUUGGAAGUUAAGUUGUAAACUUUAUGUUAUAUUUUGAAAGCUUAAAUGUAAUCAAGUUGUAUUAGAAGUUGAAUGGAUUUAAUUGUUGAUGCCAAAUGUGAUGUAAUAGUUAGUUUAUAUCUCUCUUUUAUUCACUUGUAUGGUUCUCCUUGUGAUGCUUGCUCUCAUUUUGUUCAGCACUCUUUGUACUCUCGCUAGUUGUUGAAUGAUUGUGUAUAUAUAUUCAAGUGUUUCCUGGGAACUUGUUGUACACAAUCUCGUCGCUUUAGCCUUGGGCGGACAGGGGAGGUGCUGUCAGUUCGGCGGUCCGCCCGGUGCGCCCGAACCGUGCCAAAUUGAUAGUGGUUUCGGGGCGGGGUGUGACAGUUGUGGUAUCAGAGCGAGUUAAGAGCAAGCAAAGAGAGAGUUUAGGACUGACCUAGGAGACCCUAGGAUGGAAACCUUAAGGCUAUAGGUGCGUGAGAGAUGUGAACCUAUGAGUUGUGGCGAAAGGAUUAUGGAUUGGGUUGUGUCGUGAACCUCUAAAACGGAUGUUAGAGGUAGACUCAUGGUGUAGUGUAUUCUCAACCGAGGGUGUUUAUGUUGGGUGCACACAACAUGAAGCCGGGUGAUAAGAAUAGACGCCCUUGCUUGACUUUCGCCCGAUUUGAGUCGCGUUGUCUAGUAAUUGCGCGAGUUUAACGGGUUAAGAUGAUUAACCAGAUGUUUGUGUUUCAGGAGCUGAUGUCCCCGAGAUGCUACGCACGUAGAUCCGUUCCGGUACCACCUCCCGUGGUGCCAGAGCAGGCUGGACCUCCGGUAGCGCCAGAGUCAGCUGGGCCUAGCGAGGUGUAGGAGUUACGAGCGCAAGUUACUGCGCUAACCAGACAGGUCGAGCGGCUCUAGGAGAUUUUGGAGCGGCAAGUGGCGGCGGCAGCCGCGACGACAGCUGAAGAUCGUGGUCCGCUCGCGCCCUCGGCUCGCGCGCCUAAUGCGGCUGAAGGUGUGGGCAUUGCGGCAGCUCCGGCGGCGGCGCAUCCCCCGCCGACGAGUGUUCCUCUAGCGGAUUCGGGUUCAGCGAUACUCGAUGCGGCGACUGAGGAAGCUCUCACGAGGUUUAUGAAAUUCCACCCUCCGACAUUUGAUGGCGUGGUGUCACGCCCCGGGACCCGGCGUAGGCCCGCCCGGUGCGUGCCCAGACCCGCCAUAUGCCUGCACAUAUAAGGCGUCUACAACGAUAACGAAUUAAAGAACAAUAAAUAGAGAAUAUCUAGAGAUAUCAGAGCAAUUAUACAGCUAGGUUCUAUCAACCAGUAGAAACCACAGAAGCUAGACUACUAAAGUAAAAAGUAAAGUAGUACAUCAUAAGUCUCAAAAUACAAAUAGUGGGUGGUCUCUACAAAAUGGUACAAGUCUCUCAACCUCUCCAAAAGAAACAAAAGAGAUGUAGACCACCGAUCCACCAAUCCCUCGCUAGCUAACUCGAGGCGAUUCCUUUCCCGCGAUCCCAAGCCUCUCCCGGGGUGGAAGGCUCUGAAUGAAUAAUCAUAACAAGGGCGAGCGUCGAGAAAUAUAUUUAUUAGUUCACAGUGGGUAAAUUACUGACAUAAGCAAAUGCACACUAGGCAACGAGUAAGAGCAGAUAUAGUAACGAAAUAACAACACAGAAAUACAAGUUAUAUAAUGAAAUGCAUAUACUUAUGUAUGCACAAGGUAUACAUGAUAUGAAUGGAGUACAUCGCACUCCUGUCAAUGAAUCAUAUGCCAAUACAUAAUACUUGUUUUAUAAUGGUAUACCAAGUAUUGCUAUGAUGGCAAAAGUAUAUAUCACGGUAUACUACAUGUCCAAACGUUCCAAUACUUAUUGCUAAAGCCAUGGUCAAGUAUAAACCAAAUACUAAGACGAUUAUGUGAGUAGGAUUGUUUUACAAUGUUUAAUGUCAUUGUUUCAAUAUUUUUUAGGCUUACACAAGUGUAGUCUGGAUUGUGCCGCUACCUGUCCUUGUGGUAGCAUCAUUCAAGUGGAGAUGAGUCUGUCCAAACACGACCCUAGGGCUUGCCGCUAGAUGCACGAUGGUAGCUCAUAUCCACGUGGGAAUGAGGUUGUCCCACGUGACCUACAGGGUCUCAUCCCGCACGCUGCGAAUGCGUAGCAGGCAACUCCGGAAGUACCGGUUGUAGGGGCGACCCUUUUCACAAUAGGAUGUGCGAUAUGCGCCAAGAUGAGAUAGUAACACAUAGUGUCAUGGUCACGGUAUCUCGUCAUUCAUGUGCUCUUAACAUCGGAAUACAUAGUAACCCAAGGGUCUAGUAUAUGUCUCAAAGUGAAGUUCCAAUAUUCACUAAGUCUAGUGCCUCUUUAGGACAUUAGAAAUUGACUAUAAUCCAGCAAUGUUCAAUGUUCAUGCCUUUUAUGGCAAAUUAUUUACUAAGUUCAUACAUGUUCCAUAGCUCUAAUGGUCGCUUAUGAUUUAGUUAACUUAAUACCAAUCUAAGGACAAUGCUCUUUCUAUGAAUUAGCUUACACUAUCAAUAAUGGUUAAUACGCAAUUGCUCUCUAGCAGUAAUCUCAUUGCUAAUAUGUACUAGAUGUAUUACAAUGCAUAUAAAUAUUUAACAUGCAUACUAUCCAUAGAUAUUAUGUUUUCAAUGCGGUCUGUUGCCACAUAAUCACAUAGAUAGUUCAUCAUAAUGCUACAUGAGUACACUUUCCCAAUGCAAAUUACCAAUUCGCAUAAUUCUGCAUAAUAUUAAAUGGCACAUAAAAUUCACAUAUCAUUCAAGUUAAUGCCGCUCUAUUUGGAUUCUUUGUUAGGCUCAUUCAAUUAGCUCAAGUCCGAUGUCUUCAUUACGGACAUUAGUUCACUACUCACAAGUUAAUCAAGUCCAAAGCCAUUUAUGGCCAUGCAUUCUACCUAUGUCAAAUGGAGAUUAUGUUCCAGGAAUAUUACAUUUGUUUAUCUUAUUAUUAUGAGAGCAUGACUCAAGUCCCAAUGUAGAAUGUAACCAUGCUAAGUCUCAACUUGCAAGCUCUCUAUUCAUAAAGGGUUACGAUGCGAUUGCUAUAUAAAUUAAGCAUUUCAAGCCAUUCUAAAAUUCACAAAUAAUGUAUUAUAUGAAAUGCAGUGAUUUUUUCAUUUUACGGAUACUUAAAUCCAAUAAAUGAGCUUUUCUCAUUCAUGUAGAGAGGGUCAACCCACAAGCUCCACAGCAACUUCGUUGCCCCGACUCUCUUUAAGCUCAAAGACUUUAGUAAAUGUCCGUACUAACGAUUGGGUUUCGAUGGUUUUUGGAAGCUUGGCUGGUAGCUGCCGACAUCAUGUCCGAAAUCGGGAACUUUUCUUCAUUCUAUCGUCGUCAGCCUCGUGCGUAUUCGCCCGAACCGACUUCGCGCAACGCUGUCAGAAAAUCUAGCAAUUUAGGUUUAUACAUGCUCAUUUAGAUCAACCACUACAUAUUGCAAAAACCCAAUUUGAGCCUUACAUGCUACUAUUACAAGAAAUCAAACCAAUUGGAACUUGAUUAUGAAUUAACAUGUUAUAGAAUUUCUAGGGAGUUCUCUAACAUUCUAGAGCAUAACGAAUUCACUCCUGUAGAAUUAUACUCAUAGUUACUACCAAAGCUUACCUCCAAAGCUUUCUCUAAUAGAGAGGAAGAAGAUGAAAGCUUGAGCUCCAAGCUACUCUCCAACUUUCAAGGAUUCUACUCCAACUUCUUCUCCAAUUAAUCCUCUUUUUUGGAGAGAUUAGAAGAGAAAAGGAGUGAGGGGUGAGAACUAGAGAGAAAGAGAGAAAAGGAGAAAAGAAACUUGCUCUCCAAGUCUCUCUCGGGUUGGGCACAAAUGAGAAAAAGAGUACAAGUUCACAUAUAUAUAUACUCCCAAAAUACUAUUCACAUCAGAUUGUAGCUCAGGUACAGAUAUUUUUCGUCCGCCCUUCUGAACGUCCGAUUGAGCUCAAAUUUGGCAGUCAUGAUCAGUCUAACCUUACUUAACGAAAGAAAUUUUAAUAUUUCAGUUUCGACCCCGUUUGAUCACCGAAAGCUGUACCGAAUUGUAAUCUUUAUCAGAUAACCGUCGGAUUUAAUUUUUCACCUUCCGGGUGUCAGAAUGGCAUGAAACUUUAAAUCUAGCCUCAUAAAAAUAAUCCUAACAUAUUUUCAAAUUUUCGGAAUUUUCUGACACCGUGCAUUUUCUGCUAAAAUAUCAGCCCCGUCUAUCACAGAAAAUUCUCAAUCUUUUAUUUUCACUCCGAUUUCCGCACGAGUCAAUCCCGACAUAUAAUUUACUUGUCUAAAUCCAAUAAAAAUAGUAUCUCACACUAUUUUUAUUUAUAUUCACUAUUAUUAAAAAUCCGGUAUGCUACACGUGGUGAUAGAUGCUUGGACCGUGGAGACCUGGUUAGCCACGAUGGAGACAUUGUUUGAGGACAUCUAUACCCGAGAGCAAGACAAAGUAAACUUGGCCGCUCAUUGCUUUGAUAAGAGGGCCCGAGUUUGGUGGAGGAGGGUGAAGCAGGAUCGGUCUCCGAACCUUCCCCCGAUUGAUUAGGCGGAGUUCCGAGGGCUGAUGUUCACGGAGUAUUUUCCCGACAGUGAUAAAAGGAAAAUGCGGGAGGAUUUUCGGAAGCUCAAGCAAGGUAACCGUACAGUUCGGGAGUAUGAGCGGGAGUUUACACAUCUCCUGAAUUGCGUUCCUGAUGUGGCAAGGAUCGAGCAAGAUCGUGUGGAGUGCUUCGUGCGGGGACUCCGGCCCGGAGUGUUCCGAAUGGUACAUGCAUUUAAGUUCCGCACCUUUGCGGAAGUGCUAGAUCGUGCUCUGUGGGUCGAGCACGGGAAUGCCUGUGAGCGAGAGGAGCGCGAGGCAUCUGAGAAAGACAAAGGAAAGAAACGGCCUGGCAGUGGUUCGGGGGGACAGUCUAGUUCCAAGAAGCCCCCGAAGUACCCGAGGAGGCAGUCCGAAAGCCAGGGACCUAUGCGAUGUGUGAUCUGCGGUGGGGAGCAUCGCGCAGGGAAUUGUGAGCAUCGGGCGGGACGAUGCUUCAGGUGUGGUCAGGCGGGGCAUAUGAGCCGUCAGUGUCCAGAGGGAUCGCCGCCUGUCCCGUCUAUUGCAUCCGCCCCAGUGACUCUGAGGCAGUUGGGUGGAGUUACGCCUAUUGCCGUAUCUGCGGGACCUACGAGGGCACCUCGUCAGCUCGAGGCGACCCGGUCGGCUCCGAGUGGCCGGGUGUUCGCCGCUCAAGUCGAGGAACCUGCCGAGUUUGAGGCACGCGACAUCGUGGCAGGUAUGGUUUAAUUAAGGCAAUCAUAUAUUUCUGCAUGAUGUAGACUUAUGAAACUGCAUGCAUUUACCUUAUGAUCAUUUACUAUUACUUAUGCAUAAUAAGUAUAGUAGGGACCAGGACAUGAGUCGGUAUAGUUACCUAAGCAUGCAUGAGUUGAGACAGUGUGUCGCCUACCAAAGUAGAUCGGUGGUUGACCAGUGUGCAUAGGCAGGGUUGCCUAAUGCUCGGCGUAGUGUGUAACGCUAUAGUGACGUGUGUUGCUCGGGUGAGCGUGUCGUGUGAGAUGACGGUUGCGGGUAUUGCUUGAGGACGAUCCGUGCUUGGACUACUCGUGGACUGUGGAGCCUGGGGCCUUAUGGACGACAGGCGCAGUCAGCUGUGGGUGACAGCGGCCCGGGGUAGGGCAGAGUUAUGGUCAGGAUGGUAGUCGGAGCUUUAGACCCGGGAACGUGGACUUCCACGUGAUAGAUCAUGGGAUCGAGGAUGCACUGAGAGUGCGGUUGUAGCCCAACCUCAGGAUUUGAAGUGGUUUGGGUCGUGGUUGCUCCUGGUUGGAGUGUGUGCGAAUUCUCCACUGAGAAUUUCGCCCAAUGAUGAUGGGGUCUACGAUGCAAGCAACAGACGCUAUGCGUCGUUGCGACAGGUUUAGGCGGUAGGCCUACGUAGUAUUUGUGACCGUUGGUCCACCUAUGGAAGCCGACGUAAUUGGUUUAGCCGAUAACUCUGUGGAGGAGUUGGAGUAAGGAAGUGAAUUCUCGAAAUACGAGAGUUGGACUUCGCUCAAGAUCGACAAAUUGUCGAGUAGGAGUGCUUCGGAAGAGCCGAAGAAGCCAAAGGCACCAAGAGUGCUUUGGAAUGGAGUUCGCGAGAGCAAAUGGUGCAAGAAUCUGCACAUGGCAGAUUUGCUCUCGGGGACUGGUCCCUCGCGAGAGGGACCGGUUCCCGUACGUGGUCUGCGUGAGCUUGCUCUCAGGGACCGGUCCCCAGGAGGGAGGGACCGGUUGCUCCGAGGCUGAGGGUUGCGCAGCGCGGGGCAACCGGUUCCCUGACAGGAGAGACCGGUCCCCGAGUGUGAAACUUGCCCAGGCAGGCUGGGUUAUGUUGGAGGAGCUGGAGAACUUGAGGAUAAUGCUCUUUUAUGGAUUGAGAUUCGAGAUGCGCCAAAGUGGGCCAUCUCUCGAUAGAGCAAAGAUCCAGGUAUAGUUGGAGCACUCGUGAACGGUCGAUGCACCAAUGAUAUUGCUCCUAAGCAAUGCCGAUGGUCAAGCCGAAAUGGAUUUCCCGAUUGGGUGUGUAUUGCAAAGAAUGGUUCUAUGCAUGGUGGUAAUGCACUUUUGGUGUUACACUUAGCAAAUGUGAGUGGAUCUAGUCUCACAUCCUCCGUAGUGGACCUUUGGACAAUUCCAAUGAGUUAAGGGCCACUCCGGAGCACGAAAAUGCAUUGGAACCCUCGAUGACCCAUAAGUUGAGUUGAGGUGCGAGUUGGGUUUGGAGCGAAUUAGUUUCGAAGACGAAACUCCUUUUAAGGAGGGGAGAAUGUAACAUACCGGACUUCUAAAAUCACGAAGUCACGGAAUACAUUUUAUUGGUAAGCCGUUUGAAUGGUCUCGGUGAGGUCCCGGUGAGGUCCGGAAGCAUUCGGGCGUUCCGGUGCGCAUAGCGCUAAACGGAGCCCGAAGGGCCGUGUUGGGCUGUGAGCCAAAUCCGGCAUUAGCGUGGAUGAAAAGAUGAUGAAAAUACGCUCGAGAACAUGUUUGGAGAGUCUCAGUUCGAUUUGAAGAGAAUCAGAGGUCAAACGAGCGAAAACGAGCAAAAACGGAGCUAAAACGGCGAAAAAUGCUGAAAUUUGGCUAAGUCCUUAAUUGCUGAAAAUCUGGACCUACGGGGACCGGUCCCUCAAGUCCAGGGACCGGUCCCAUAUACAAAAAUGGCCCCCGCGCGGGGCAAUGCAGGAAACAUGAAGUUGAGGGGCUUUUUGACAAUUUUGCCACAUGAGGAGUUGAUUAGAGGGGCUAGGGCUCAUUUCCUCUCACUCCCUCACACUCCUACCCUAAAAGAACACCCUCUCUCUCUCUCUAGAGCUCUCUCUCUCUCUUGGAGUUGAUCAAGAAGGAGGAGAAGGAGGAGAUUUGGAGCUUGAGGGAGCAAAAGCUUCAUCUUCCUCUUCCAUUGCUUGGAGAAGAAGCUUGGUAGAGGUAAGGUUUUGAACCCCUCUCACGGUGAAUGGCUUGGAUUGAGUUUGAAUACCUUGGAGAUAGGAUUUAUUGAUGCUUUAGAGAUUGUCAAUCUCAUUUGUUGCAAGGUUUAUAGCUUGAUGUUGCUUUUUGCAACAAUGAGGAUUUAGGGCUCCAAAUGAGGGCUUUAAUGGUAGAUCUCUAAGGUGUGAUUUAAAUGCUCUAGAAAUGGAUUUAGCAGCAUUCUUAGAUGCUAAUUAGAUGUUUAUUGCUUAAAGCUAGGGUCCAAAUGGUAGAUUUUUGCCUAGUAUCAAACCUAAGGGUUUAAAAUGGGGUUUUUGUAAAUACUUGGGUUUGAUCUAAAUUGUGUGGUCAGAAACCUAAUUGUUGUGUCUCCGAACGCGUAGGAAGCGACGGUUCGUCGAUUCGUCGAGCGGGUGCGACGUUCCGGCUGAAACAAGUGUUCGUGAGUUCGUAUUGGCCUGGAGAGUCGAGGCGGCUUCAAUAAAUCGUGGGAUUGAAUCCUGAGCAUCGCAACAGGAAACCGAUGACCUAUAAUUCUCGGAUCGCGAAGCGGAGGUCAUUCGGUGGUCGCGCGUGAAUAGGGUCUAGCCGAGCGGCGUGCGUCACGGGAGGCCGAUUGCGAGUGAUGACGAGUAAUCGGAACGCUAUAAAAAGGGGGGGGUGUCUAACCGAAGCAAUCGGGCUUCCUUCUAUGUCCGAGUUAGAUCUUUGGUCAUAUUACACAUAUGUUUCUUAUGCAUUAUAGGAUGUAUGUAUUAUUAUAUUUCUACUUUCCUUGAAUGCAUGUCUAGUUGUGUAGUAUUAUGGACUUGACACCUAAAUCUAGAAUGCAUGAGGGCGAAGGUUUAGAUAUGAGAUCCUAUAAUGAAAAGAAAAUAAAGAACUUGGACUUGAUAAUGAAACUAGUGACAUGUGAACUAGUGUAAUGGAGAUUGUAUGCAUGUAGCAUUAUGAAUGGAUUGCAUGCUAGUUGAUAAUGGCAUAUUAGCAUUAUGAAGAUGUAUACUAGAUGUAUGAUAUAUGUUGGCUUUAUAGAACAUAUGUGCUAGAUGAAAAUGAAUGUUAACCUAUAGUUAAUUAUGGAGAUUAUGAGGCAUGUGGCAUCUAAACCUAGUGUCGUUAACCUAGGAUAGAUUGAGUGGCAUUAACAUAAUGUUGUUAAACAUAGGUUGACAUUAAACCUAGUGUUGUGGAACCUAGAGUUGAUUAGACCUAGGUGAGUGGCAUCGAGAUUUAGUGCGGUUGAGACACUUGACAUGGACCUAGGGAUAGGUGGAUUAUCAAGUGAGGGUUAACCUAGUUGACAGGGUAUCCUCAGUUGGCGAGGAUUCGAUCAUACUCACAUAGUCUAUUUUGGGCUUGUGGCGGUCGCUCCCCACAAGCAGUGCACUCCGGAGUUGUCAUACGAGCUGGGUAGCUUAUGAGCGGGGUUGUCACGCCCCGGGACCGGCGAAGGCCCUCCCGGUAGCGUGCCCAGACCCGCCAUAUGUCUACACAUAUAAGGCGUCUACAAUAAAAGCGGAAGUAAAAGCAAGUAAUAAAACAAUAGAAGAAGUGAAAUAAUGAGCAGCUAAUGAUAUCAGAGCGAGUAAAGUUCUAACAUCUAUACUAAUAGUAAUAGAACAUACCUAAUACAUAAAAGUAAAUAUAAGUUAUACAGUAUCAGCCUCUAAUACAAAACGGUGGUCUCUAGUACACUGGUAAAACUCUCAACCUCUCCAAAAUAAAGUACAACGAGAGGUAGACCACCUAGCAAGUCGUCCUCGUAGGAAGCUAGCUCAAAGCAACUCCCUUCCCGCGGUCCCUGGCCUCACCCUGAGUGGAAGGCUCUGAAAAACAUCGAGAAAAAGAGGGCGUGAGAACUAUAAUUUAUAGUUCCCAGUGGGCAAUUACUGACCUCAGCUCAAUGCACCACUAGGCCCCAAAAGAAAAGGGUAAGUACAACAAUAAGAGUAACGAGUAAAUUGCAUAUUAGAAAGCAUAAUAAUUAGGAUGCUAAGCUACAACUUGCAAUUAAACAUGGCAUUCCUAAUGCGACCUUAUUUUGUCAUGGAUAUAUAUGUUCACAAGUAAUAUCAUGCUUUACUUUAUACAGAUAUGACAGUAAUACUUGGUCAUGACUACAAUGCAUAUAAGGAUGCGUCAUGACUACAAUGCAUAUAAGGAUGCAAUAAACAACAUCUCCUAGCAUACUACAUGUAUGUAUGAAUACCCAAAUGUCCACAACUAUGCUAGAAGUAAGUCCAAGUAAUCCUACUACUACUCUCUGACUAGUAGUGAUCAUAAUAAACUCAACACCGUGUCGAUUUCCAUUUCCAAUUAAGGACCUACCAAAGGUAGUCCAGCUUGUGCCGCCUAAGUGCCUGUGGUAGCCCGACAUCCCUACUCUUGGAAUGUGUCUGUCCCACUCGACCCCGUAGGCUUCUCAAUACCGCACGAGCGAACAUAAGUCGCGUAGGCUAACUCCGGAGUGCCGGCUUGUAGGGAGCGACCCUCACAAGCAUGUGCGAAUGAGCACAAAUGGCAAACAAGCAAGGUCACUGUCUCAAAUACUCUAUCCGCAUGUCUCUAACAUGGCAAGGUCACUAGCAUCCCAAGGAUCUAGCCCAAUGUCUCUAAGUGAUGUCCCAACACUCACUUGCUUAGUGCCUCUUUAUGACACUUAAGCAUCACACUGAUCAAGCUCAAUUCUUGUUCUAUGUUUCAUUUAAACAUUAAUACUAAUGACUACUAUAGCCCGGGCCCAAUGCCUCUUUAUGACAUUGGCCCAAUUCUCAAAUAGUCCAAGUUCUCAAGCCCUCUCUAGGCUUCUAAAAUUCCUAAUGUCCCAAUUGGCAUAUAGGUUAAAUGCAAGAGAGCAAGAUCCGUUUUCAUAAUAGGGAUCAUGGUUCCCAAUCCUAACUAGAAUGCUAAGUCUCACAUGCAUGCACUCUACCACAUAGGGGUCUAAAAUUUCACUAUACAUAAUAUAUGCAUGUUAAGCAUUCUAAAAUUCAUAUUAAAUACAUUUAACAUGGAAAUGCAUGAAUUUCUACUUUACGAAACAUAUUUGCCAAAUAUGAGCAUUUCUCAUAUCAUAGGCUAGGUCAAACCCACCGAACCGUCGCGUGCUCCUUCGAUUCGCCGAACGGAGUUGUCCACGAGUCUCACAAUACCCUAAAAGUAAUCAGCGAAGAGAUACGAGAGCAUUACGACCAACCAAGAGAUCAAACAUUAACCUAGAAGCAAAAAGGGCCAACAUUUACCUCAAGAGUAGAAAUCUCUCCCAAAGCUCCAAAAGAGAGCUAGAACCCUUCCAAUCCAAGCCCUAGGAAGAUUCUAAACCAAUCAAUCUAGCCUCAAAAGCCCUAGAUCAAAAAGCCCCAAAAUCAACCCUAAAUCUCAUUUCUAGGGUUUCAUCUCCCAAAAAUCACAAAAACAAGAAUCUAGAGGAGGGAAACAUGAUACUAACCCUUAGGAAGCUUCAAUCCAAGCCCAAAAUGCCCAAGGGUUGAAGUUUGGUCCACCACUAAGCUCUACAAGCAAGCUCCAAGUCUUGCAAAGGUGGGAAAGAGAGAAAGGGGUUGAGCUCCAAGCUCCCUCAAGCUAGCCCUCUUCUUCUUCUCCUCCUUCUUCUUCUUCUUCUCUCUCUAGAAAGUGUAGGGAGAGGGUGAGAAUGAGAGAAUGAGAGAGGGAAGAGGGGGAAAUGGCUAAUAAGCCCAUCUAGUGCAAUAAAAUCCGGAGAGGCCCCUCAAAAACUCGAUAUUGCAACAGCCCGAACUGGGCAGUUUUCGCCCAGAGGGACCGGUCUCUCCCCAGCAGGGACCGGUCUCUCGCUGCGAACCCGAAAAACCAGCGUUCGAGAACCGGUCUCUCCCUGCGCGGGACCGGUCUCUCACUGCGAAGACGCGCUCGGGGACCGGUCUCGCCUGCCAGGGACCGGUUGCCUCAGGCUGCCUCAACACUGCUCACUGGGGGACCGGUCUCUCCUUCCAGGGACCGGUCCCCGAGAGUGAAAACUCUCAGGACUGUCCAGAAUUCCAGUUUUCGAACUUUUUAGGUCGGAAAACAUUCUACAACCCUCCACCAAGUGUGGAAAAGCUCGAAAUACACCCAAACACUCGAACCCCGCAAUUUGCAAAGGUCCAGUGCGUCACAGGGGUAGCUCACCGGGUGGGAUACGAGCGGGGUAGCUCCCCACCCAUUGGACUGGGAAGUGAGUCGGGCGAAGGGCGGGGUAGCUCUUUACCUGUGAGAUUUGAGCGGGGUAGCACUUGACCUAUGAGAUUAAGGUUAGAGUCGGGGCGAAGAGCGGGGUAGCUCUUGCCCUUAGGCAUUCGGUUAUGAGUUGGGCGAGGAGCGGGGUAGCUCUUCACCUAUAGGACUUGAGAUCUAAGUUGGGUAAGAGCGGGGUAGCUCUUUACCUAUAGUAUUAGAGUUGUGAGACGGGUGAGACAAGAGCGGGGUAGCUCUUCACCUAUGUGGUUCGAGAUCUUAGGCGGGGUAGCCGAACGGAUUGGGUAAUAACAUGAAUUGCAUAAGUGAAUUUGCAUUCAUACCAUGAUUAGACAGAGUACACUGCAUAACUAUGUUGUAGUUGUAAUUAUUUCAUUGUUAAAGCAUACUAGCAUGAUAAAUGAUGUUGCAUGCAUUCCUUGCAUUUGGUGGCAUAUUAGAUAUAGUAGCAGUUUAUUUCUAUAUAUCUAUCUAUCUAUCUAUCUGUGCCGGCCUAGACCUAGUGGGAAGAUCGGCGGAGUCGGCGGCCGAACCCACUGGGAACUAUAUUUAUAUAGUUCUCACCCCGUAUGGUUUUGGGGUACAGGUACACGUGAGAGCGGACCGGCAGGUGAUCGUUGUAAGGGCUUAGCGCCCUAGAGUUGGUAGCAUACCUACCUAUUUUGCAUUAGAUUACCUAUACUUUUGAGAGUAGAUGAUGUAUAGGUGUGAGAUAUUUUGGAAGUUAAGUUGUAAACUUUAUGUUAUAUUUUGAAAGCUUAAAUGUAAUCAAGUUGUAUUAGAAGUUGAAUGGAUUUAAUUGUUGAUGCCAAAUGUGAUGUAAUAGUUAGUUUAUAUCUCUCUUUUAUUCACUUGUAUGGUUAUACUUGUGAUGCUUGCUCUC